This is a non-coding RNA of Cyanistes caeruleus (blue tit), 283 nucleotides long. NCBI's taxonomy places the organism in Eukaryota, Metazoa, Chordata, Aves, Passeriformes, Paridae. The record is from RefSeq and is a predicted model, not a curated record.
GAAAUGUUAUCAGAGGACAGUCUUUAACUUUUACAAUUCUGUCAGCAUCAAAGUGGAUCCAUCAGUUGGAGUUGGACAGCUUGAGCUUUAUGGCAAAUUGAGAGGAAUCUUUCAGUUGUGAUGACUUGGACCAAAUGGUUCAGUGCAUUUUCCAGCUAGCAUUCAGGUGACUUGUGUUAAGGUCUUGGUUGCGAAGUUACACUUUAAGGUCAGACUUAAAUCCAUUAUUCAUCACCAACUCCAGAUCCUGGAAUUACUUCAUCAAGAUAGAGUUCCUCCAUUC